Long non-coding RNA from Rhagoletis zephyria (snowberry fruit fly), 2899 nucleotides. RefSeq lists it as uncharacterized. The record is from RefSeq and is a predicted model, not a curated record. NCBI's taxonomy places the organism in Eukaryota, Metazoa, Arthropoda, Insecta, Diptera, Tephritidae.
UUUACUGAAAAUAAGUUUUGGCCGACAUUAGGCUCUCACCGCGUAUGCUUUUCACAGGUUUACACAAGAAGUUCGUACGACUGGCGUGCUAGUGGACAACACUCAGAGUCUUCGCCGUCGUACGGUGCUUACUAAUGAGAAUGUGAUUUUCAUUUCGGCGGCCAUGUUAACAAGUAAAACUGCCAUAUCUGGGUAACGAAACGAGCACAUGAUCGUCGAGAAGCCAAUGCAUUCUCAUAGGGUCACAGUUUGGUGCGGAUUUUUCAGCGGUGGCGCAUUUUUCCUUGAAAAUGCUGUUGGAAACACCAUUUCGGUUAAUGCAACAAAGAAAUGAUAAACGAUUUUUUUUUACCGGAAAUGUAAGGCAUGGACUCGGACGAACUUUGCUUUCAGCAGAAUGGCGCGCAAUGCCACAAUCGAUAUCUUGCGCCCAAGUUCGGUAAGCGUGUUACAAGCCAUGUCGGCGAUAUCAAUUAGUCACUUCAGGCCUGAGAUUUGACGCCGCUGGACUUUGCUUUUAAUAAUAUCGUCAAGGACCGAUCAAUUCAUUAUCGAUUCAGGCCCUUAAGGUCGGUGUCUGUUUUCUUAUCGGUGGUAUUUGCCAGUAUUUGUAGCACUGUGACAAACUGGUAAGCUCUUUUUAGUCGGAUGGAGAGAUACCACCGAGCAUCAGAAAGGGCUGACUGUUAAUACUAAAAUAUAAAAUAAAAUACUAUUAAUAAUACUUAAAAGUUAGUCAAUAAUAAAAAAAAAAUCAUGGAAAACAAUUUUUAUGAAUUCUAAAUCCAUGAAAUUCUCAAAGGUCUUUAUUUAGGUAGUUGUGUCCGACUUUUUCUGAAAAAAAAAAAAUCAGUUGUGGAGUCCACACUGAGUAGCAAUAACGAUAUCAAAAUCUUUUUGAAAUAUUCGUUGUUUGAACCUCUCCUCUUUACCAUUUGGUUGCGCGUAAUUAUUUAUUCAUACCAUUUCUUAAAAAAAUUCAAACAAUUGAAUGAAUUUAUAUUCUAGUUGUUUUGAAGUAGUAAAAACGAUGCCACAAAAAAGCAUGUAAACUGGUUUUUUAUGCGGGAGAAAUAUUAAGUAGCUUUAGCGGCUUUCACGCGAUCAAUGUCAGUCGUUCAUGCAUACAUUCAUACAUUUGUUCGACUUUUUGCCAAACAUACAUAUUUACGUGUUGGUAUGUUUAUCUAGAAUGCGUGAUCUCAGUUGAUUGUAUGCAUUGCACAAUUGCUAUAAAUAAUAAAUAUUUAAUGACACCAAAAAAUUGCCGCUAAGUAUAAAUGUCAAUAGUCGGCGAUUUGGAGAAAUACUUUUAACGAUUUAUUCAAUUUAUUAAGGAAAAAGUAUGUUUUAACCUAAAUACAUACGUAAAGCACGCCUUCAAUGUACAUGAUACUCGGGCGCUUUUAGAGAAAUAGAGUAAAUUCUUCUGAUAUUUAUAAAAAAAUUUUAAUAACUGUAGUCUGCCACAAAAAUAUUUUUUUACCACCUUAAGGUUAACAAAAAUGAAUUUAGCAUUUUAUCAACCUAAGCUAAAGUCAUGUACUUAUAUAUGUGUACUUAUGGGGCAUUCCAGCUAGUUCGGACACCAUUUGGUAUUUGCAUCUCUGGUUUUUUCAUAAUUUUUAUUGGCCCAUAACAUUGCGAAAACUGGGCCGAUUAAAUGACAAAAUCGGGCAUUUAAAAAUAAUUGUGUCAUUACAUUAAAAAAAGAUUCCUUAAGUUCAUUUCCACAAGGCAUUUUUUUAAAUUGCAUUUAUUUUUAUUUCAUUUCAAUGCCUAGUGGAAAUUCGGCAUUAGCCGCAGUUUGAUCAUUCGUGGUGGUCGCCGUUGUCCUUUUAUAGAGAGUAGUAUCACCCCGCUGUCGAAAUUCGACCACCUCCCUUUUUCAUACACUUUCACUUUGUUUGUGGCACUUUUUAGGUCCAUGACCACCUCUUGAUCGUCCAGGUGAGUAACAGUAUUAGGUCAAGUGAUAUCUUUUCCGUUAAAUAAUUUUAUAAUUCAUAGAAGCAGUAGGGAGGAAUCGAUUUGUUUGAGAUUUCGUUAGCGUAUUAAUAUAUAGAUAGUAGAUGGUGAAACCAAAGCGGGCAUUCAUAGGCUUAUACGGCAAUUGGAAUAACUCGGCUCUGGAGGCACCUAUCGCCUCAAUUUUUGGCAGGUCUCAAUUUGAUAUUGUUAAGGUUAAAACUUGUGUUUUUCCUCAUCAAAUUAAUAACCAAAAUUAUAAUCUAAUGUUUUUCAAAUGUUUAUUAUUAAUGGCUAUAUAGUGAUAUCGAAAAAGGAUACUAUUUAAAGUUUCAUUCUAAAACAAUGCGUAUAAAACCAAUAGUGCUACUUUUUUUGCUAAGUGCACCUACAUACCGCUAUACCAACCUACCAAUGGCUGCUUUUCAGCAGUCUAACCCUGUUUUGACCGGCGAUACCUACCCUACCAAUCGCAGAGGACGUCACCUGAUUUGUAAGUUGAAAUCAUUUAUUCUAUGGUUCGCCUGCUUCCGUUUGAUUUGCUGAAAUCUAAGGAUCUGACUUGAUUUUUUUACUAUUUUUAUUUUUUUUGUGUGGUUGUGUUCCCUUUGUGCAGCAUAUAUUUCGGGUGCUCUAUUUAAGACAGGCGCGGCUCCGCGGGGGAGGGAAGUUAUGCAGAAAACUCAACUCAACUCAAAAUUUUUAUUUUUUUGUAUUAUAACUUUACUGAGCGAUAUGUACCUACACGGGCGAUCAAAACUGAGUACAUGGUAAUUUUUGUUAAAUAUUUGAAAUGGUUUUCAGAUAAAAAUUUGUGUAUUAUUUAUUUAUAAAAAUAUGGUUCAAGCUUUAACUCGACUUACUUAUUUAUUCUACAAGAAAUUUACGUUUAAAUGAUAACAAUUGCAAAAAGCCGUCAACAAAAAAAAAA